GUCUCGUUAGCUCAGCCGGUAGAGCAUCUCCCCUUUUAAGGAGGGGGCCGUUGGUUCGAAUCCAACACGGGACACCA
RNAcentral lists this transfer RNA (77 nucleotides) under Campylobacter jejuni. RNAcentral describes it as "tRNA-Lys". It matches the Rfam family "tRNA". Rfam says of the family: Transfer RNA (tRNA) molecules are approximately 80 nucleotides in length. Their secondary structure includes four short double-helical elements and three loops (D, anti-codon, and T loops). Further hydrogen bonds mediate the characteristic L-shaped molecular structure. tRNAs have two regions of fundamental functional importance: the anti-codon, which is responsible for specific mRNA codon recognition, and the 3' end, to which the tRNAs corresponding amino acid is attached (by aminoacyl-tRNA synthetases). tRNAs cope with the degeneracy of the genetic code in two manners: having more than one tRNA (with a specific anti-codon) for a particular amino acid; and 'wobble' base-pairing, i.e. permitting non-standard base-pairing at the 3rd anti-codon position. Lineage: Bacteria; Pseudomonadati; Campylobacterota; Epsilonproteobacteria; Campylobacterales; Campylobacteraceae. The record is from RNAcentral.